RNAcentral lists this transfer RNA (85 nucleotides) under Alphaproteobacteria bacterium. RNAcentral describes it as "tRNA-Leu". It matches the Rfam family "tRNA". From Rfam's summary of the family: Transfer RNA (tRNA) molecules are approximately 80 nucleotides in length. RNAcentral also lists the same sequence under 3 other names. The record is from RNAcentral. Lineage: Bacteria; Pseudomonadati; Pseudomonadota; Alphaproteobacteria.
GCGGGCGUGGCGGAAUUGGCAGACGCACUCGGUUUAGGUCCGAGCGACGCAAGUCGUGGGGGUUCGAAUCCCUCCGCCCGCACCA